AUGUCGGAGUCUUUGGCGGCGGUGGACAUCGCCGGAGCGGCGGUCGGGGUGCGCGAGGCGCGGCGCCUCUUGCGCUGGCUGUGCGUGUGCGUCGCAUGUGUGUGGGUGUGUGGCGGCGGGCACGGGAGAUGGGGAUCGGGUCGGUGGUGCGCUCCGGCGCGGCGCCUCUUGCGCUGGCUGUGUGUGUGUCGCGUGUGUGUGGGUGUGUGGCGGCGGGCACGGGAGAUGGGGAUCGGGUCAGGGGGAUGUAGGUUUAGGAGGGCUGGGAGCCAAAAAUGGGCCAGAUGCGGCCCAAUGGAAAGAGAGAGACAAAGCGAGUUUGGGCUGUGCUGGCUUUAA
RNAcentral lists this ribosomal RNA (339 nucleotides) under Triticum aestivum (bread wheat). RNAcentral describes it as "partial small subunit ribosomal RNA". Lineage: Eukaryota; Viridiplantae; Streptophyta; Magnoliopsida; Poales; Poaceae. The record is from RNAcentral.